UACGUAGGUGGCAAGCGUUAUCCGGAAUUACUGGGCGUAAAGCGCACGCAGGCGGCUCUUUAAGUUUGACGUGAAAGCUCCCGGCUUAACUGGGAGAGGUCGUUGAAAACUGGAGGGCUUGAGGCAAUGAGAGGGGUGUAGAAUUCCCGGUGUAGUGGUGGAAUGCGUAGAUAUCAGGAAGAACACCCGUGGCGAAGGCGGUUCUCUGGGACGGUACUGACGCUGAGACGCGAAAGCGUGGGGAGCGAACAGG
This 253-nucleotide ribosomal RNA is filed under the name uncultured bacterium. RNAcentral describes it as "partial 16S ribosomal RNA". It matches the Rfam family "Bacterial small subunit ribosomal RNA", at positions 524 to 776 of the family's 1533-position model. The record is from RNAcentral.